Molecule: transfer RNA, 83 nt
Filed under: Mycobacterium leprae
Lineage: Bacteria; Bacillati; Actinomycetota; Actinomycetes; Mycobacteriales; Mycobacteriaceae
Description: tRNA-Glu
Source: RNAcentral
GCAUCGGCAGCACCGAACCGAAGCUGGUCCAUCACAGCGACAGGUCGCGCGCCCAUCGCCAUGAUGUCACGUACGAUGCCGCC